UCCUCCAUAAGUUACAGAUGACAGUCACGUUGUAGCAUUAUAAAAGGAAGCUCUGGAACCAACGAUUUACACAAUCCAGAGUUGCAGCGAGGACGUCAGCUCACUAAGUACAUAAAUACAAUAAACCAUCCAAAGUUCAGUUAUUGUCAACUGAGGUACCACAUACAACGUAAGGAAAAUGCUAUCUGCAAAAUCUAUGAUAACCGUAUUUAUGAUAUUGGCACUAAUUUAUGGUUCAAUGGCCUGCGACGGGCACGACAGCCCAUGCAGUGGAGAUAAUGGUUCUCAAGGCAGCUGUUGUGGAGGCAUGCAUUGUCAGAAGAAUGACCCUUCUUGGAGACAAGGACGUUGUUACUAUAAUCCUGGAAAGUAACUUUCAGAUAUGCAGUACUAAGAAAUACUAACAAGACGAUUAUUAUUUUAUUGGCAAAAAUAUGAUUUUUCUGAAUAAAGCGCUACAAUGUUCUAGAUAG
Molecule: long non-coding RNA, 473 nt
Organism: Belonocnema kinseyi
Lineage: Eukaryota; Metazoa; Arthropoda; Insecta; Hymenoptera; Cynipidae
Exons: 3
Source: RefSeq, a predicted model, not a curated record